Molecule: ribosomal RNA, 879 nt
Filed under: Oidiodendron sp.
Lineage: Eukaryota; Fungi; Ascomycota; Leotiomycetes; Myxotrichaceae
Description: SSU rRNA
Rfam family: Eukaryotic small subunit ribosomal RNA
Source: RNAcentral
UAAGUAUAAGCAAUCUAUACGGUGAACUGCGAAUGGCUCAUUAAAUCAGUUAUCGUUUAUUUGAUAGUACCUUACUACUUGGAUAACCGUGGUAAUUCUAGAGCUAAUACAUGCUAAAAACCCCGACUUCGGAAGGGGUGUAUUUAUUAGAUAAAAAACCAAUGCCCUUCGGGGCUCUCUGGUGAUUCAUAAUAACUUAACGAAUCGCAUGGCCUUGUGCCGGCGAUGGUUCAUUCAAAUUUCUGCCCUAUCAACUUUCGAUUGUAAGGUCUUGGCUUACAAUGGUUUCAACGGGUAACGGGGAAUUAGGGUUCGAUUCCGGAGAGGGAGCCUGAGAAACGGCUACCACAUCCAAGGAAGGCAGCAGGCGCGCAAAUUACCCAAUCCCGACACGGGGAGGUAGUGACAAUAAAUACUGAUACAGGGCUCUUUUGGGUCUUGUAAUUGGAAUGAGUACAAUUUAAAUCCCUUAACGAGGAACAAUUGGAGGGCAAGUCUGGUGCCAGCAGCCGCGGUAAUUCCAGCUCCAAUAGCGUAUAUUAAAGUUGUUGCAGUUAAAAAGCUCGUAGUUGAACCUUGGGCCUGGCUGGCCGGUCCGCCUCACCGCGUGCACUGGUCCGGCCGGGCCUUUCCUCCUGGGGAGCCGCAUGCCCUUCACUGGGUGUGCCGGGGAACCAGGACUUUUACUUUGAAAAAAUUAGAGUGUUCAAAGCAGGCCUAUGCUCGAAUACAUUAGCAUGGAAUAAUAGAAUAGGACGUGUGGUUCUAUUUUGUUGGUUUCUAGGACCGCCGUAAUGAUUAAUAGGGAUAGUCGGGGGCAUCAGUAUUCAAUUGUCAGAGGUGAAAUUCUUGGAUUUAUUGAAGACUAACUACUGCGAA